Molecule: ribosomal RNA, 2799 nt
Filed under: Escherichia coli
Lineage: Bacteria; Pseudomonadati; Pseudomonadota; Gammaproteobacteria; Enterobacterales; Enterobacteriaceae
Description: partial 23S ribosomal RNA
Rfam family: Bacterial large subunit ribosomal RNA
Source: RNAcentral
GGGUUGUGAGGUUAAGCGACUAAGCGUACACGGUGGAUGCCCUGGCAGUCAGAGGCGAUGAAGGACGUGCUAAUCUGCGAUAAGCGUCGGUGAGGUGAUAUGAACCGUUAUAACCGGCGAUUUCCGAAUGGGGAAACCCAGUGUGAUUCGUCACACUAUCAUUAACUGAAUCCAUAGGUUAAUGAGGCGAACCGGGGGAACUGAAACAUCUAAGUACCCCGAGGAAAAGAAAUCAACCGAGAUUCCCCCAGUAGCGGCGAGCGAACGGGGAGGAGCCCAGAGCCUGAAUCAGUGUGUGUGUUAGUGGAAGCGUCUGGAAAGGCGCGCGAUACAGGGUGACAGCCCCGUACACAAAAAUGCACAUAUUGUGAGCUCGAUGAGUAGGGCGGGACACGUGGUAUCCUGUCUGAAUAUGGGGGGACCAUCCUCCAAGGCUAAAUACUCCUGACUGACCGAUAGUGAACCAGUACCGUGAGGGAAAGGCGAAAAGAACCCCGGCGAGGGGAGUGAAAAAGAACCUGAAACCGUGUACGUACAAGCAGUGGGAGCCUCUUAAUGGGGUGACUGCGUACCUUUUGUAUAAUGGGUCAGCGACUUAUAUUCUGUAGCAAGGUUAACCGAAUAGGGGAGCCGAAGGGAAACCGAGUCUUAACUGGGCGUUAAGUUGCAGGGUAUAGACCCGAAACCCGGUGAUCUAGCCAUGGGCAGGUUGAAGGUUGGGUAACACUAACUGGAGGACCGAACCGACUAAUGUUGAAAAAUUAGCGGAUGACUUGUGGCUGGGGGUGAAAGGCCAAUCAAACCGGGAGAUAGCUGGUUCUCCCCGAAAGCUAUUUAGGUAGCGCCUCGUGAAUUCAUCUCCGGGGGUAGAGCACUGUUUCGGCAAGGGGGUCAUCCCGACUUACCAACCCGAUGCAAACUGCGAAUACCGGAGAAUGUUAUCACGGGAGACACACGGCGGGUGCUAACGUCCGUCGUGAAGAGGGAAACAACCCAGACCGCCAGCUAAGGUCCCAAAGUCAUGGUUAAGUGGGAAACGAUGUGGGAAGGCCCAGACAGCCAGGAUGUUGGCUUAGAAGCAGCCAUCAUUUAAAGAAAGCGUAAUAGCUCACUGGUCGAGUCGGCCUGCGCGGAAGAUGUAACGGGGCUAAACCAUGCACCGAAGCUGCGGCAGCGACACUAUGUGUUGUUGGGUAGGGGAGCGUUCUGUAAGCCUGUGAAGGUGGCCUGUGAGGGUUGCUGGAGGUAUCAGAAGUGCGAAUGCUGACAUAAGUAACGAUAAAGCGGGUGAAAAGCCCGCUCGCCGGAAGACCAAGGGUUCCUGUCCAACGUUAAUCGGGGCAGGGUGAGUCGACCCCUAAGGCGAGGCCGAAAGGCGUAGUCGAUGGGAAACAGGUUAAUAUUCCUGUACUUGGUGUUACUGCGAAGGGGGGACGGAGAAGGCUAUGUUGGCCGGGCGACGGUUGUCCCGGUUUAAGCGUGUAGGCUGGUUUUCCAGGCAAAUCCGGAAAAUCAAGGCUGAGGCGUGAUGACGAGGCACUACGGUGCUGAAGCGACAAAUGCCCUGCUUCCAGGAAAAGCCUCUAAGCAUCAGGUAACAUCAAAUCGUACCCCAAACCGACACAGGUGGUCAGGUAGAGAAUACCAAGGCGCUUGAGAGAACUCGGGUGAAGGAACUAGGCAAAAUGGUGCCGUAACUUCGGGAGAAGGCACGCUGAUAUGUAGGUGAAGCGACUUGCUCGUGGAGCUGAAAUCAGUCGAAGAUACCAGCUGGCUGCAACUGUUUAUUAAAAACACAGCACUGUGCAAACACGAAAGUGGACGUAUACGGUGUGACGCCUGCCCGGUGCCGGAAGGUUAAUUGAUGGGGUUAGCGGUAACGCGAAGCUCUUGAUCGAAGCCCCGGUAAACGGCGGCCGUAACUAUAACGGUCCUAAGGUAGCGAAAUUCCUUGUCGGGUAAGUUCCGACCUGCACGAAUGGCGUAAUGAUGGCCAGGCUGUCUCCACCCGAGACUCAGUGAAAUUGAACUCGCUGUGAAGAUGCAGUGUACCCGCGGCAAGACGGAAAGACCCCGUGAACCUUUACUAUAGCUUGACACUGAACAUUGAGCCUUGAUGUGUAGGAUAGGUGGGAGGCUUUGAAGUGUGGACGCCAGUCUGCAUGGAGCCGACCUUGAAAUACCACCCUUUAAUGUUUGAUGUUCUAACGUGGGCCCCUUACCGGGGUUGCGGACAGUGUCUGGUGGGUAGUUUGACUGGGGCGGUCUCCUCCUAAAGAGUAACGGAGGAGCACGAAGGUUGGCUAAUCCUGGUCGGACAUCAGGAGGUUAGUGCAAUGGCAUAAGCCAGCUUGACUGCGAGCGUGACGGCGCGAGCAGGUGCGAAAGCAGGUCAUAGUGAUCCGGUGGUUCUGAAUGGAAGGGCCAUCGCUCAACGGAUAAAAGGUACUCCGGGGAUAACAGGCUGAUACCGCCCAAGAGUUCAUAUCGACGGCGGUGUUUGGCACCUCGAUGUCGGCUCAUCACAUCCUGGGGCUGAAGUAGGUCCCAAGGGUAUGGCUGUUCGCCAUUUAAAGUGGUACGCGAGCUGGGUUUAGAACGUCGUGAGACAGUUCGGUCCCUAUCUGCCGUGGGCGCUGGAGAACUGAGGGGGGCUGCUCCUAGUACGAGAGGACCGGAGUGGACGCAUCACUGGUGUUCGGGUUGUCAUGCCAAUGGCACUGCCCGGUAGCUAAAUGCGGAAGAGAUAAGUGCUGAAAGCAUCUAAGCACGAAACUUGCCCCGAGAUGAGUUCUCCCU